RNAcentral lists this transfer RNA (73 nucleotides) under Agathobacter sp. RNAcentral describes it as "tRNA-Glu". It matches the Rfam family "tRNA". From Rfam's summary of the family: Transfer RNA (tRNA) molecules are approximately 80 nucleotides in length. Their secondary structure includes four short double-helical elements and three loops (D, anti-codon, and T loops). The record is from RNAcentral. Lineage: Bacteria; Bacillati; Bacillota; Clostridia; Lachnospirales; Lachnospiraceae.
GGCCCCUUAGUCUAAAGGUUAGGACAUCGCCCUUUCAAGGCGAAGGUAUUGGGUUCAAGUCCCAUAGGGGUCA